UCCAGACUCCUACGGGAGGCAGCAGUGAGGAAUAUUGGUCAAUGGUCGGGAGACUGAACCAGCCAAGCCGCGUGAGGGAUGAAGGUACGGAGUAUCGUAAACCUCUUUUGUCAGGGAACAAAGGCGGGGACGCGUCCCCGGAUGAGUGUACCUGAAGAAAAAGCAUCGGCUAACUACGUGCCAGCAGCCGCGGUAAUACGUAGGUGGCAAGCGUUAUCCGGAUUUACUGGGUGUAAAGGGCGUGUAGGCGGGACUGCAAGUCAGAUGUGAAACCCAUGGGCUCAACCCAUGGCCUGCAUUUGAAACUGUAGUUCUUGAGUGAUGGAGAGGCAGGCGGAAUUCCGUGUGUAGCGGUGAAAUGCGUAGAUAUACGGAGGAACACCAGUGGCGAAGGCGGCCUGCUGGACAUUAACUGACGCUGAGGCGCGAAAGCGUGGGGAGCAAACAGGAUUAGAUACCCGAGUAG
Molecule: ribosomal RNA, 466 nt
Filed under: uncultured bacterium
Lineage: Bacteria
Description: bacterial SSU rRNA
Rfam family: Bacterial small subunit ribosomal RNA
Source: RNAcentral